AAACUUCGAUAGAAUAUUACAACCUCUAUCCGCCCGGGAACUACGAGCGCUAGCUUAAAACCCAAAGGACUUGGCGGUGCUUCAGACCCCCCUAGAGGAGCCUGUCCUAGAACCGAUGACCCCCGUUUAACCUCACCACUUCUUGUUUUUUCCGCCUAUAUACCGCCGUCGCCAGCCUACCCUCUAAGGGACUUAAAGUAGGCAAAACAAGCACUCCUUAAAACGUCAGGUCGAGGUGUAGCGAAUGAAGUGGGAAGAGAUGGGCUACAUUCUCUAAUAUUAGAGAACCACGAAAGAGAUUUUGAAACAAACCCCCGAAGGCGGAUUUAGCAGUAAGCACGAAAGUAGUGAGUCCG
This 356-nucleotide ribosomal RNA is filed under the name Saurida elongata (slender lizardfish). Its description in RNAcentral is "partial 12S ribosomal RNA". It matches the Rfam family "Bacterial small subunit ribosomal RNA", at positions 801 to 1359 of the family's 1533-position model. Lineage: Eukaryota; Metazoa; Chordata; Actinopteri; Aulopiformes; Synodontidae. The record is from RNAcentral.